This 406-nucleotide ribosomal RNA is filed under the name uncultured bacterium. Its description in RNAcentral is "partial 16S ribosomal RNA". It matches the Rfam family "Bacterial small subunit ribosomal RNA", at positions 30 to 526 of the family's 1533-position model. The record is from RNAcentral.
AUUGAACGCUAGCGGCAUGCCUUACACAUGCAAGUCGAACGAGUGGCGGACGGGUGAGUAAUAUCUGGGAACGUGCCCAGUAGCGGGGGAUAACUACUGGAAAGGGUGGCUAAUACCGCAUACUAUUGGAUCGGCCGAGAUGGGAUUAGCUAGUUGGUGGGGUAAAGGCUCACCAAGGCGACGAUCCCUAGCUGGUCUGAGAGGAGGACCAGCCACACUGGAACUGAGACACGGUCCAGACUCCUACGGGAGGCAGCAGUGGGGAAUAUUGGACAAUGGGCGCAAGCCUGAUGCAGCCAUGCCGCGUGUAUGAUGAAGGCCUUCGGGUUGUAAAGUACUUUUGGCGGGGAGGCGGUACUCGCAGAAGAAGCACCGGCUAACUACGUGCCAGCAGCCGCGGUAAUUC